Molecule: ribosomal RNA, 467 nt
Filed under: uncultured bacterium
Lineage: Bacteria
Description: bacterial SSU rRNA
Rfam family: Bacterial small subunit ribosomal RNA
Source: RNAcentral
UCCAGACUCCUACGGGAGGCAGCAGUGAGGAAUAUUGGUCAAUGGGCUUACGCCUGAACCAGCCAAGUCGCGUGAGGGAAGACUGCCCUAUGGGUUGUAAACCUCUUUUGCCGGGGAGCAAAGAGCGGGACGCGUCCCGCCUCGAGAGUACCCGGAGAAAAAGCAUCGGCUAACUCCGUGCCAGCAGCCGCGGUAAUACGGAGGAUGCGAGCGUUAUCCGGAUUUAUUGGGUUUAAAGGGUGCGCAGGCGGAGGCGCAAGUCAGCGGUAAAAUUGAGGGGCUCAACCUCGCUCCGCCGUUGAAACUGGCGUUCUUGAGUGGGCGAGAAGUAUGCGGAAUGCGUGGUGUAGCGGUGAAAUGCAUAGAUAUCACGCAGAACUCCGAUUGCGAAGGCAGCAUACCGGCGCCCAACUGACGCUGAAGCACGAAAGCGUGGGUAUCGAACAGGAUUAGAUACCCCGGUACAA